RNAcentral lists this ribosomal RNA (467 nucleotides) under uncultured bacterium. Its description in RNAcentral is "partial 16S ribosomal RNA". It matches the Rfam family "Bacterial small subunit ribosomal RNA", at positions 28 to 507 of the family's 1533-position model. The record is from RNAcentral.
GAUGAACGCUGGCGGCGUGCUUAACACAUGCAAGUCGAACGGUGAAGCAGAGCUUGCUCUGUGGAUCAGUGGCGAACGGGUGAGUAACACGUGAGCAACCUGCCCCUGACUCUGGGAUAAGCGCUGGAAACGGCGUCUAAUACUGGAUAUGAGCUGCGACCGCAUGGUCAGCAGUUGGAAAGAUUUUUCGGUCUGGGAUGGGCUCACGGCCUAUCAGCUUGUUGGUGAGGUAAUGGCUCACCAAGGCGUCGACGGGUAGCCGGCCUGAGAGGGUGACCGGCCACACUGGGACUGAGACACGGCCCAGACUCCUACGGGAGGCAGCAGUGGGGAAUAUUGCACAAUGGGCGAAAGCCUGAUGCAGCAACGCCGCGUGAGGGAUGACGGCCUUCGGGUUGUAAACCUCUUUUAGCAGGGAAGAAGCGAAAGUGACGGUACCUGCAGAAAAAGCACCGGCUAACUACGUG